GCAGUGGGGAAUAUUGGACAAUGGGCGCAAGCCUGAUCCAGCAAUGCCGCGUGUGUGAAGAAGGUCUUCGGAUCGUAAAGCACUUUCGACGGGGACGAUGAUGACGGUACCCGUAGAAGAAGCCCCGGCUAACUUCGUGCCAGCAGCCGCGGUAAUACGAAGGGGGCUAGCGUUACUCGGAAUUACUGGGCGUAAAGGGCGCGUAGGCGGCGCUCCAAGUUAGGCGUGAAAGUCCUGGGCUCAACCUGGGAACUGCGCUUGAUACUGGAGUGCUUGAGGAUGGAAGAGGGUCGUGGAAUUCCCAGUGUAGAGGUGAAAUUCGUAGAUAUUGGGAAGAACACCGGUGGCGAAGGCGGCGACCUGGUCCAUUACUGACGCUGAGGCGCGACAGCGUGGGGAGCAAACAGGAUUAGA
Molecule: ribosomal RNA, 414 nt
Filed under: uncultured bacterium
Lineage: Bacteria
Description: bacterial SSU rRNA
Rfam family: Bacterial small subunit ribosomal RNA
Source: RNAcentral